UCAGAGGGAAGCUCACCAGUGAGGUCACGUGCAGGGUGCUUGUCACUCACGCUCCAGCCUCUGGGAAGGUCUGAGACAAGAGCCAAUAGCUGCCCUAGCAGGGCACCGCUUGCUGCAGGUGGAUGAGUUACCAGCAAUGGUGGGCCCUGGGGAGGGGCCCAAUGGGGCAGGAGAAGCUGGAGGGGGCAAAGCCCCUCCCCAGCGGAUGCCCAGUUCCCUCCCCAGGGUUUGGGAAUGACUCAUGGCUGGCCCCCCUGAGUUCAAUGGGCUGAGGUGAGGCCUCCAGGGGCCUCAUAACCCAAUUCAGACUACUCUCCCUCUGA
This 323-nucleotide RNase P RNA is filed under the name Pelodiscus sinensis (Chinese soft-shelled turtle). RNAcentral's name for it is "Nuclear RNase P (ENSPSIG00000020227.1)". It matches the Rfam family "Nuclear RNase P". From Rfam's summary of the family: Ribonuclease P (RNase P) is a ubiquitous endoribonuclease, found in archaea, bacteria and eukarya as well as chloroplasts and mitochondria. Its best characterised activity is the generation of mature 5'-ends of tRNAs by cleaving the 5'-leader elements of precursor-tRNAs. Cellular RNase Ps are ribonucleoproteins. The record is from RNAcentral. Lineage: Eukaryota; Metazoa; Chordata; Testudines; Trionychidae.